This 477-nucleotide ribosomal RNA is filed under the name uncultured bacterium. Its description in RNAcentral is "bacterial SSU rRNA". It matches the Rfam family "Bacterial small subunit ribosomal RNA", at positions 335 to 801 of the family's 1533-position model. The record is from RNAcentral.
ACUCCUACGGGAGGCAGCAGUGGGGAAUAUUGGACAAUGGGCGAAAGCCUGAUCCAGCCAUGCCGCGUGUGUGAAGAAGGCCUUUUGGUUGUAAAGCACUUUAAAGCGAGGAGGAGGCUACUGAGAUUAAUACUCUUGGAUAGUGGACGUUACUCGCAGAAUAAGCACCGGCUAACUCUGUGCCAGCAGCCGCGGUAAUACAGAGGGGUGCGAGCGUUAAUCGGAUUUACUGGGGCGUAAAGCGUGCGUAGGCGGCUUUUUAAGUCGGAUGUGAAAUCCCUGAGCUUAACUUAGGAAUUGCAUUCGAUACUGGGAAGCUAGAGUAUGGGAGAGGAUGGUAGAAUUCCAGGUGUAGCGGUGAAAUGCGUAGAGAUCUGGAGGAAUACCGAUGGCGAAGGCAGCCAUCUGGCCUAAUACUGACGCUGAGGUACGAAAGCAUGGGGAGCAAACAGGAUUAGAUACCCUGGUAGGAUAGCG